GUAACAUCAACUGGAGGACCGAACCGACUAAUGUUGAAAAAUUAGCGGAUGACUUGUGGCUAGGGGUGAAAGGCCAAUCAAACUCGGAGAUAGCUGGUUCUCCCCGAAAGCUAUUUAGGUAGCGCCUCGGACGAAUACUACUGGGGGUAGAGCACUGUUAAGGCUAGGGGGUCAUCCCGACUUACCAACCCUUUGCAAACUCCGAAUACCAGUAAGUACUAUCCGGGAGACACACGGCGGGUGCUAACGUCCGUCGUGGAGAGGGAAACAACCCAGACCGCCAGCUAAGGUCCCAAAGUAUUGCUAAGUGGGAAACGAUGUGGGAAGGCUCAGACAGCUAGGAUGUUGGCUUAGAAGCAGCCAUCAUUUAAAGAAAGCGUAAUAGCUCACUAGUCGAGUCGGCCUGCGCGGAAGAUGUAACGGGGCUAAGCAAUACACCGAAGCUGCGGCAAUGUCUUUUAGACAUUGGGUAGGGGAGCGUUCUGUAAGCCGUUGAAGGUGAAUCGUAAGGUUUGCUGGAGGUAUCAGAAGUGCGAAUGCUGACAUGAGUAACGACAAAGGGGGUGAAAAACCUCCUCGCCGGAAGACCAAGGGUUCCUGUCCAACGUUAAUCGGGGCAGGGUGAGUCGACCCCUAAGGUGAGGCCGAAAGGCGUAAUCGAUGGGAAACGGGUUAAUAUUCCCGUACUUCUGACUAUUGCGAUGGGGGGACGGAGAAGGCUAGGUGGGCCAGGCGACGGUUGUCCUGGUUCAAGUGCGUAGGCUUGAGAGUUAGGUAAAUCCGGCUCUCUCUAAGGCUGAGACACGACGUCGAGCUACUACGGUAGUGAAGUCAUUGAUGCCAUGCUUCCAGGAAAAGCCUCUAAGCUUCAGAUAGUCAGGAAUCGUACCCCAAACCGACACAGGUGGUCGGGUAGAGAAUACCAAGGCGCUUGAGAGAACUCGGGUGAAGGAACUAGGCAAAAUGGUACCGUAACUUCGGGAGAAGGUACGCUCUUGAUGGUGAAGUCCCUCGCGGAUGGAGCUGACGAGAGUCGCAGAUACCAGGUGGCUGCAACUGUUUAUUAAAAACACAGCACUGUGCAAAAUCGCAAGAUGACGUAUACGGUGUGACGCCUGCCCGGUGCCGGAAGGUUAAUUGAUGGGGUUAGCGCAAGCGAAGCUCUUGAUCGAAGCCCCGGUAAACGGCGGCCGUAACUAUAACGGUCCUAAGGUAGCGAAAUUCCUUGUCGGGUAAGUUCCGACCUGCACGAAUGGCGUAAUGAUGGCCACGCUGUCUCCACCCGAGACUCAGUGAAAUUGAAAUCGCUGUGAAGAUGCAGUGUACCCGCGGCUAGACGGAAAGACCCCGUGAACCUUUACUACAGCUUGGCACUGAACAUUGAACCUACAUGUGUAGGAUAGGUGGGAGGCUAUGAAGACGUGACGCCAGUUGCGUUGGAGCCGUCCUUGAAAUACCACCCUUGUAUGU
This 1470-nucleotide ribosomal RNA is filed under the name Vibrio cholerae. RNAcentral's name for it is "partial 23S ribosomal RNA". It matches the Rfam family "Bacterial large subunit ribosomal RNA", at positions 756 to 2213 of the family's 2925-position model. Lineage: Bacteria; Pseudomonadati; Pseudomonadota; Gammaproteobacteria; Vibrionales; Vibrionaceae. The record is from RNAcentral.